This 316-nucleotide long non-coding RNA is filed under the name Lotus japonicus. RNAcentral describes it as "long non-coding RNA (LJAP_LNC000246)". Lineage: Eukaryota; Viridiplantae; Streptophyta; Magnoliopsida; Fabales; Fabaceae. The record is from RNAcentral.
AAAUAGAAGAUCUCAAGCAUUAUGGGAUAUUCAACGCUUCAAAGCCAAAUGUACAUUAUUCAUAAAGGAUUCACUUAUGUCGGGAUAACAAAAGACCAUAUUCAGUUCAAGAUAUAUUUGUCCUGCCUUUGGAAAGCAAGAAUGUCAGAUGAGAAAUAUCAUCACAAGUAAAUUCUUUUUAUUUUUCUUUGCUUUCUAGCAACCCAAAGCAAACAAGAGAGUUGUUACUUAUAUGAAAAGCAUAAGAAAAAUCAAGAAUUAACAAGCAAAACAGUUGAAAUUCAAGCAGCUGCAAAAUACUAUUUAAUUAAAUAAU